AGUCAGAGUCAGCCGGCCGCGAAUACCGAGAGGACGCCUCUCCGUUCGUUCACGAGUAUCGUCGUCCAAGACCAUCCACGCGACGAUCUCCAAAUGUUUUCGUCAUAGUCCUUCGAAGCUUUUGCUGGCCGCUACCCCUGUUUUACCGCCGUCGUAGUUCGUUAUCUGUGUUAUCAAAUGUCCUCGACAUCGAGUCUGCCAACGAUUUCUCGUGCAUUAACGAUACCUCCUGUGACAGACUAAAAGGCGCGCUCGAUGGUAUAAUUGAUGAAUAUGAAAUAAAAAGUUUCCUAAAAGUGUGUGAGAGAACGAGAGAAAGAGAACAUUUGUGCUGACGAUAGAAAGAAUUUAAAAAGAAAAGAUUUCAAAGAAAGAAUAUAGUUUUUAGUGUGAUAAGUAUUUUGACAUUGAUUUCAAUACGGUUCGAAAUCAAACGGUGUGAAUAAUUGAAAAGAGUCGAAGAGACGUUACUACUCGAUAAAGUUGUUGCCGCUACUGUCGCAAGGACACAACACCGGUAUCGGCCACGAGCAGCCAGAGAGUUUUACCCUCUCUCACGGCGCAUCCGAGUCGCACGCGCGUGCAACACUCUCUGGUGGGUUCCGCACGUUCAGCCGAGCUAGUCGGCGGAGCGUUUCUCGCUUGUUUUGUCGUUGUUAUGAGGAGGUGAUGAAUAGACGAAAGCGUUGUAGUGUCGAGCAACGUGGUGACCGUGCUCGUCGUCGUGACGGACGAUGACGAUGAACGUAGACAGAUAUCAUAAACGCGAGGAAGUGUGCUCGUUGGUGUGAUUCAGUGUUUUACUUCGAAUCAAUUCCAUUUUACACGAGAAUUGGAUUGGAUUUAUUAUUUCGUGAAUCAAGUGUAUCUACCGAGGAUAAUGCGAUUCUGUGUCAUUCUUUAGCAGUAAGUCCGGUUUUCAUUGUAUCGCCUUUAACGCGUGAGGCGCGAUCAUCGGGGUCGUUUUCGUGAAAGUUAGCAAGAAGAACAGCAUCAACAACGGCGGCGAUAGGCGUUGGGGUGCAGCCCGUGUUAUCAUCCGGCUAUCAUAGCACGGUGCCACCCCAGAACGGGGGUGGUGGUUCGACAUUUAGUGCCGCGGCGAUGGUGGCAGCUGCCACCGCUACGGCCACCGCCACUGCUAGCGUGGUGGCCAUGCAGGACCGCCAAGACAUCCCCUCGCAAUUCAAUCAGAUGCAGAGCCAACAUGGAAUACCCCACCAAACGUACAACGCAGGGUACGCCCAAAGAGGACCAAUGGCCGGAAUGGGGCCAGUCGGGAUGAGCAACUUUAACAGCAUGGGCACGAUGAGCCCGAUGCACUCUAUGAAUUCCAUGAAUUCGAUGAACAGUAUGAAUGGCAUGAACUCGAUGAAUCCUAUGUCGAUGGGAGGUAUGAACGGUAUAAGUGGUAUGAACGGGAUGACCCCCAUGAGCUCCAUGAGUAACAUGGGUAAUAUGGGCAUGAACAAUAUGAUGGGACCUAACAACAUGCAGAUGAACAAGAUGAGCAUGCAGGCUCAACCACACCAGGGCUAUCCAAGAAGACUAGCACCUUAUCCGAACCCUGCGAUGCACAUGGCGCAGAAGAGGCAACAGGGUCCUUACCCGGGUCCCAACCCGGCUGCGAUGCAACCGGCCUUCAACGGCAUGACGACGUCGCAGUACCCGACCAAUUAUCCCGCGGCAGCCAGACCGAACUUUCAACCUCAGUACCAGCCGAUGCAAACGAUGAAUCCUUCGGCAGCUGGCUUUGGGCCUAACUCGAUGAUACGAGGAGCGAAUAUGAGGCAAACUGCACCCUCGUACCAAACCGCGAAUCAAGCGGCAACCAAUCAAUACUACGGUAGCAAUGGUAUACCGGUUAGCAUGGGACCUACCACGGUGGGCAAUCAAUUCGUUGGCCACCAACCUAACUCAGGAUACGCCGGUGGCGCGUCUUCGUACGGGGCGACCGGGGCUGUGACCAGUCAGUACCAACAGGAUGUCGCGUCGAUGAGAACGACGGGCGCAGGGACUCUGAAUUACCAGCACAGUCCCAUCCCUGGUAACCCGACACCUCCGUUGACUCCGGCCACUAGUAUGCCUCCGUACAUCAGUCCGAAUCCGGACAUCAAGCCUAAUUUCAACGAUAUGAAGUCACCGGUUAACAUUCAGAAGGACGAUGAGUUAAGAUUAACAUUCCCCGUGAGGGAUGGCAUCAUUCUUCCACCCUUCCGCUUAGAACAUAAUCUGGCUGUAAGCAACCACGUAUUCCAACUGAAGUCCACGGUCCAUCAAACCCUGAUGUGGCGAUCGGACCUGGAACUGCAGCUCAAGUGUUUCCAUCACGAGGACAGGCAAAUGAACACGAACUGGCCGGCGAGCGUGCAAGUAUCUGUAAAUGCUACGCCGUUGGUUAUCGAUCGUGGUGAAAAUAAAACGUCUCAUAAGCCCUUAUACCUGAAGGACGUUUGUCAAUCGGGAAGGAACACAAUACAGAUCACGGUAUCGGCGUGUUGUUGCUCACAUUUGUUUGUGCUACAAUUAGUUCAUCGACCAAGCGUGCGAAGCGUACUUCACGGAUUGUUACGUAAAAGGCUGCUCACGGCGGAACAUUGUAUCACUAAGAUUAAACGAAAUUUCAGUAAUACUAUUUCAAAUAAUGGUAUUCAGUCGGAGAAGGAUGUUGUAGAACAGACAGCACUUAAGGUAUCCUUAAAAUGUCCUAUUACCUUUAAACGUAUUACACUGCCAGCUAGGGGACACGAUUGUAAACAUAUUCAAUGCUUCGAUCUCGAGUCGUACCUACAGCUAAAUUGUGAAAGAGGAUCGUGGAGAUGUCCUGUAUGCACGAAACCUGCCCAAUUAGAAGGUUUAGAGGUUGACCAGUACAUGUGGGGCAUUCUGAACACUUUGAACACCGCGGAGGUCGAAGAGGUGACGAUAGACUCGGUGGCGAAUUGGAAACCAGCUAAGAAUUUAACUGGCAUCAAAUCCGAGGAAGAAAGCGAUUGCAAAAGAAUGACGAAGGCAAUGUCACCUGGAAGUAUGAACAUGCCAACGAUGAAUAAUUGGGAUAUGAAUCAGGCAAUGAGUCCGUACAUACCGCCUGAUAUGAGUAGCAUCGUAAGCGGCUCUAUGAUGAAUAACACGCCGUCUACGUACGCGAAUAAUAAUAUCAAUCAUCGGAAUUCGUCUGGAGGAUCGUUCGAUAUCAACUCCGGAACGAAUACGAAUACCAAUAACGAUUACACAAACGGUGCAGGGCCACUGUCGCACUUGAAUGAAUCAGUCAACUCCUUGGAUCCUCUCAACGCUAUGGAGAAAUCACUGAACGAUCAGAUGCCUCAUACCCCACAUACACCUCAUACUCCCCAUACACCCCACACACCAGGCGGUGGAAACAGUGGUCCACCAAGUGUUCCCCCUGCAUCUCAGGAAUCCACGGGAAAUCAUAACACGUCUGGUAAUACGAGUACAAACAUAAAUAACGAUACUGCAGACAUACCAUCUGACUUAAAUUUCGACCCAGCUGCAGUAAUCGAUGGCGAGGGUACCGGUCAAGAGGCAUUGAAUCUCUUGCCAGACAAUGUCGUGGAUCCAAUGGAAUUACUUUCGUACCUGGAUCCACCAGAUCUGAACACCCCUCCCAGUAGCGGCGCUAGCAGUGGUAACCCCUCAUCAAGUGACGAUAUAUUAGCACUCUUCGAAUAAAGAAAUAUUCACGGGCAUCUCUCAAGAGAAAUAAUCAAAUCGCGACCCUAACGUUAAGGCGAAAGAAGAAGUGAGAGAAAAAAAAAAUGGAAAGAAAAAAGAAAAAAUAAAUUGAUUAACAGAAGACACAGAUGAUUAGUGACAACAGAUGACACACAGAAACGAGGGCAUAUCGGGCUUCACACUGGAGGGAGAGACUCUAUUUCACGUGGUGUAUCUCCUGAGUUUUUGCAAGUAUACACGUAUCAAAGAAAACUUCUAAUUAUGUUUAGAGAAUAUAUACUAUACAUUUUUUCAUUUAUACGAAAAAAUUUUUUUAUUUGUUAAUUUCAUUUUUUUUUAUAUCUAUUUUGAGAAUUUAUCAAAAUCGAUUUAUUCCCUUAGAUAAACGAUAUUUUGUUAUGAUACACAAAAUCUCUGAAGAUACAUCAAUUAUAUAUAGAGUUUAUUUUCACAUUUUGAUGUUGUACUUGUAAUUAAAUCUGAAACAAAAGAGUUACCAUCUUAGAGUUAUUAUUUUUGUUAAGAUUGUUUUAGAAAGAAAAAUCGCGACUAUAGAUUUAAAUUUUCCAGGGAAACUAACAAUAAAUUGCACAAAAUCAAAUUUUAUAUGGAAACAGAUGAGAAUAGGAAACUGAAUCAGUAUGAGGAAAUAAAUUCUAUAUGACAACGGUUAGCACAAAUUUUUUAAACGGACUGAUUUCUCGUUUAACGAAAAUUCAGGUUUAGAAUUAUUUGUAUGAUAAAACUGCCGGAGUGACACCGCCCAUGGCCCCCCUUGCUUGCAUAGUAGUUAUUACAUUUAUAUCUUUUGUGAUUAAAAGAGAAGAUAUACUUAAAGUGAUUCAUGUAGAUUAUACAAAUUUUAUAUUAAAACAAAAAACGUGUAUUUAUAUUCCAGUGUGCAUCAAUAGCGCACAUUGAAGGAUUAGAUGCGGUCAAGUUUCUAUUCGUAUAAUUAUAAUAAUAUUAUCGAAAAUAGGAUAACAACAUUACUUAUAUUAAGCGAGAUUAUUGUAUAUUAUCUGUAUAUAUGAUAAAUAGAUUAAUAAUAUAAGAAAAAAAAAUGGCAGAUACUUAUUGGCCAGUUAUAAUAGUAAAAAAUGAUUAUCUUAAUUAUUUCUCAGAACCAAAACAUACAAACGUGUUGUAUGAGAAUACUUUAAAAGAACUAGAAAAUAUAAUAUGUAAAUGAUGCAGGAUAAUAACAGUUCAAAUUAUUGUACUGUUAUUUCUAAUAGAAUUAUUACUUACCUAUUAAAGACAUAAUUAACGAGGAAAAAAAAGUUUAUUCAAAUUGUAAGCUUUACUUAGGAUUGCCAGGAAGUAGGCAUAUGCAACAUUGUUGCAAUUGUAUAUAGGCAAUGUCUACCUAUACCUACUUAAUAAUAUCCUAAAAUACACAAUACAUGGUCUUGGUUUACAAGUUGUAGAGCUUUAUAAAUAUUUGAUAAAAUAAAGCUAUCAUUUUUAUGGAUCCUUGCUGAUAUAAAUUAAACAGUCAAAUUAUUUAUUCCUAAGUGAACGCAUAAUUGUCAUUAUUAAUUGAUAAUUAAUAAUUAAUAAAAAUAAAAAGAUAAAAGCAUUUCAUAGCAACCUGUUUAUUUUAUUAAAUACAAACAGUUUUAUACCAAAAAGAAAACUUAAAUAAAUUUUUAAAAAAAAUUUGAAAGUGUUUGAAAAACUUACUUUAUUCUAUAGUAAGUAUAGUGUGUCAGAUGAUUAUGAAUCUCUACAACUUUAUGAUUAUAAUACCUAUUUAUCUAUUGUUAGGAGGCCUAUGAUUUGAUCCUAAAGUGCGUCACUUUGAAGACUCGAACGAAUGAAAUGUCGUGUUGUCUUGUCGAGGCCUGAAAAGCUACACUAAGAAAAUAAAAUAUUUUCAUGUAAUAACGACACAGCUGUACCUACUUAUGGCACAUUGAAUACACAUUCGAUGGAUCAAAUAAAAGUUAGAGAGCAUUUAAACUAAAUGCUGAUAAGCAUUUACAGACAAACGAUAUUUUCAUUUUAUUAAUUUCAUACAAGCAAGGUUAUUAAAAACAAAAAAAUGAUAUGGAUCAGUUUCAAGUAUCGCAUCAAUUACACCACAUGGACGUGGACCAAAUUUUUGGAGAUAUCGAAUAUCAAUUAAAUAUUUACCAUAUAUGUUGAGUUUCUUGAAACUUCUUAUUAUUACAAAAUUGAAAAUAUCGAAUAAUUAAAGGAAUAUGACUUACCACCAGGAACACAUAAUGCAUACUUGAUGUCACGAGAGUCCAUAACUGCGAAAAGACCAGUUUUCGUUCUUUUCUGCAUUGUCGCUCUGAUAGGCAAUACUUCCAGCGGAAGUGGAAAGCGAUUGGCGGAUCGCUUUCCCCCACCAUCGCUGCGUUCCCCCACCAUCUUCCAACUUGCGCGCUUAGUUAUGGACUCUCGUGACCUCAAGUAUAGACAGGAGAAGUAACGGCCCUAUACAUAUUUCCCAAGGCCGGAAUUAAGUUCGACACGUUUAGACAAUUACUCUAACAAACGGUAGCAAACAAUAGUUUAUAACUAUAAGAUUUAAGGAGAAGAAUUGAAUUUAAAUAACUGGAGAAUUGGUUAGAAUAAUUAUUUAACGAAGGGAGUACAUUGAAUUGAUUAGAAUCUUUUUCUUUUUUCUACCUGUAACGAUCAUUGGUGUAACUAGGAAGGGGCCCAGGGUGGGCCUUGACCUCUCUUAAAAUGCAGAUUUGUCCCUAUCAGUAAAAAUGAUUGAAAUAAAUAAAAACACACAUUUGUUAACUAAAUACAAGACGUACAAUAAUACUCUUGAUGAGUAAUGAGUAGUUAGACAUUUAAAACUUUUAGUAAAGUGUAAUCUGACCCACCCCAGACAAAAAUCCUAGUUAUAUCAAUGAUAAACGAUGUUUUUUAUACCGACAACGCUUUUAUAAAUCUACUUACCAUUAUUACCCCCGAAUUGUUCAUAGAUCAUACGAAGAUCGUCUCCAAAAUGGAUAAAUGAUGUUUCAUAAAUUGAAUACACCGACAUACAUAAAUACGUACGCAUUUACUAAGGUCGCCAUAAGUGACUGGUACAAGCUUGUGUAAAUUAAUAAGAGAAAUGUGCUGAUCAUUUAAAAAAAGAACAACUGAUAUCAUUGGUUACGUUUGUGUGAAAAAAUUUUAAUAUACAAAGACCAGUUUAUCACAUUGUCACAUUGUUUCUUGAUAACAGUUAGAAACAUUCAAUAAAAAA
Molecule: non-coding RNA, 6919 nt
Organism: Osmia lignaria (orchard mason bee)
Lineage: Eukaryota; Metazoa; Arthropoda; Insecta; Hymenoptera; Megachilidae
Source: RefSeq, a predicted model, not a curated record